UACAGAGGUCCCGAGCGUUGUUCGGAUUCACUGGGCGUAAAGGGUGCGUAGGUGGCGUGGUAAGUUUGAUGUGAAAUCUUCGAGCUCAACUCGGAAACUGCAUCGGAAACUAUCUAGCUCGAGGAUUGGAGGGGAGACUGGAAUUCUCGGUGUAGCAGUGAAAUGCGUAGAUAUCGAGAGGAACACCAGUGGCGAAGGCGAGUCUCUGGACAAUUCCUGACGCUGAGGCACGAAAGCUAGGGGAGCAAACAGG
This 253-nucleotide ribosomal RNA is filed under the name uncultured bacterium. RNAcentral describes it as "partial 16S ribosomal RNA". It matches the Rfam family "Bacterial small subunit ribosomal RNA", at positions 524 to 776 of the family's 1533-position model. The record is from RNAcentral.